GACGAACGCUGGCGGCGUGCUUAACACAUGCAAGUCGAACGGAAAGGCCCUGCUUUUGUGGGGUGCUCGAGUGGCGAACGGGUGAGUAACACGUGAGUAACCUGCCCUUGACUUUUGGAUAACUUCAGGAAACUGGGGCUAAUACCGGAUAGGAGCUCCUGCUGCAUGGUGGGGGUUGGAAAGUUUCGGCGGUUGGGGAUGGACUCGCGGCUUAUCAGCUUGUUGGUGGGGUAGUGGCUUACCAAGGCUUUGACGGGUAGCCGGCCUGAGAGGGUGACCGGCCACAUUGGGACUGAGAUACGGCCCAGACUCCUACGGGAGGCAGCAGGGGGGAAUAUUGCACAAUGGGCGGAAGCCUGAUGCAGCAACGCCGCGUGCGGGAUGACGGCCUUCGGGUUGUAAACCGCUUUCGCCUGUGACGAAGCGUGAGUGACGGUAAUGGGUAAAGAAGCACCGGCUAACUACGUG
RNAcentral lists this ribosomal RNA (468 nucleotides) under uncultured bacterium. RNAcentral describes it as "partial 16S ribosomal RNA". It matches the Rfam family "Bacterial small subunit ribosomal RNA", at positions 28 to 507 of the family's 1533-position model. The record is from RNAcentral.